Molecule: non-coding RNA, 74 nt
Organism: Rhodopirellula baltica SH 1
Lineage: Bacteria; Pseudomonadati; Planctomycetota; Planctomycetia; Pirellulales; Pirellulaceae
Source: Rfam
UCCAUGGGGGAGCCGUUGGUGGCUCGGACUGACUGUUAAUCAGUUUGCCGCUGGUUCGAUUCCAGCCUAUGGAG